Non-coding RNA from Marmota flaviventris (yellow-bellied marmot), 131 nucleotides. The record is from RefSeq and is a predicted model, not a curated record. NCBI's taxonomy places the organism in Eukaryota, Metazoa, Chordata, Mammalia, Rodentia, Sciuridae.
AGGCAAUUACCACUGACUCCUUUAUAAAUAACCACAGGAGCAGUGUGCAAUGGCUGCAAACAGCAAUCUCCUUGGUAGUGUAUGCAGCCUGUUGUUUAUAUGGGUUGCCCUAAGGGACCUUGGAGACAGCA